This 74-nucleotide transfer RNA is filed under the name Eubacterium sp. RNAcentral describes it as "tRNA-Pro". It matches the Rfam family "tRNA". From Rfam's summary of the family: Transfer RNA (tRNA) molecules are approximately 80 nucleotides in length. Their secondary structure includes four short double-helical elements and three loops (D, anti-codon, and T loops). Lineage: Bacteria; Bacillati; Bacillota; Clostridia; Eubacteriales; Eubacteriaceae. The record is from RNAcentral. RNAcentral also lists the same sequence under 2 other names.
CGGGAUGUGGCUCAGUUUGGUAGAGCGCCACAUUAGGGAUGUGGAGGCCGCAGGUUCAAGUCCUGUCAUUCCGA